AUCUUCGAAAUUAUAUAAUUUAUAUAAAUAACUUCAAAGACUGCAAUUUUGUAAAGAAUUUCUAAGUCAAGCCGUUUCAAGACAUGCGUAGCAAAACAUAAUCUAAAUUAAACAAAUUUGAAAAUCUAUUUAAACUGACUUACAUUUCUAAUGAAAAAGUUCCUAAUUUUAUCACCAAAUUACAAAUAUUUUUAAUUAAAGGUGCCUGAUGGACCCCAAUCCGUAAACCUUUGAAGACGCAGUUCAACUUUACUACAACUCAGCUGUGGAGCAAUAUCAUCUUAUCAUCACGCAGAUCAGCUGCGUGAGCAUUUAAGCUCUCCCCUCUCGCACCAAUACUUUUGGCUUAGCGUUUUGCUGUUCGCUCUUCAAUCGAGUCUCUCAUUAUCAUUCGCUAUCGUUAUCUUCUACAUAUCGAAUCGAUGCGAUACAUAUCGCUUCAAUCAAUAAAAGAUAUAGUUCAAAAUCUCGACAGAAAA
Molecule: long non-coding RNA, 479 nt
Organism: Drosophila sechellia
Lineage: Eukaryota; Metazoa; Arthropoda; Insecta; Diptera; Drosophilidae
Exons: 2
Source: RefSeq, a predicted model, not a curated record